GACGAACGCUGGCGGCGUGCUUAACACAUGCAAGUCGAACGCUGAAGCACCAGCUUGCUGGUGUGGAUGAGUGGCGAACGGGUGAGUAAUACGUGAGUAACCUGCCCUUGACUCUGGGAUAAGCCCGGGAAACUGGGUCUAAUACUGGAUGCUACAUGUCACCGCAUGGUGGUGUGUGGAAAGGGUUUACUGGUCUUGGAUGGGCUCACGGCCUAUCAGCUUGUUGGUGAGGUAAUGGCUCACCAAGGCGACGACGGGUAGCCGGCCUGAGAGGGUGACCGGCCACACUGGGACGGAGGCACGGCCCAGACUCCUACGGGAGGCAGCAGUGGGGAAUAUUGCACACUGGGCGAAAGCCUGAUGCAGCGACGCCGCGUGAGGGAUGACGGCCUUCGGGUUGUAAACCUCUUUCAGCAGGGAAGAAGCCACAAGUGACGGUACCUGCAGAAGAAGCGCCGGCUAACUACGUGCCAGCAGCCGCCGUAA
RNAcentral lists this ribosomal RNA (486 nucleotides) under uncultured bacterium. RNAcentral's name for it is "partial 16S ribosomal RNA". It matches the Rfam family "Bacterial small subunit ribosomal RNA", at positions 28 to 523 of the family's 1533-position model. The record is from RNAcentral.